GUGCAGUGUAGAUGCAGGUGUGGGUGUAGAUGCAGGUGCAGUUGUAGAUGCAGGUGUGAGUGUGGGGGUAGGCACAGGUAUAGAUGCAGGUGUGGGUGUGGGGGUAGGCACAGGUGUAGAUGCAGGUGCAGGUAUAGAUACAGGUGCAGGUGUGGGGUAGGCACAGGUAUAG
Molecule: long non-coding RNA, 172 nt
Organism: Cebus imitator (Panamanian white-faced capuchin)
Lineage: Eukaryota; Metazoa; Chordata; Mammalia; Primates; Cebidae
Exons: 3
Source: RefSeq, a predicted model, not a curated record